CUUCGGCCCCAWUUGAGUGGCAAACGGGUGAGUAACGCGUGGGUGACCUACCUUCGAGUGGGGGAUAACGUCUCGAAAGGGACGCUAAUACCGCAUGACAUCCUGCCUUUGGACAGGCGGAGAUCAAAGCCGGGGAUCGCAAGACCUGGCGCUUGARGAGGGGCCCGCGUCCGAUUAGCUAGUUGGUGAGGUAACGGCUCACCAAGGCUYCGAUCGGUAGCCGGCCUGAGAGGGCGGACGGCCACACUGGGACUGAGACACGGCCCAGACUCCUACGGGAGGCAGCAGUGGGGAAUUGUUCGCAAUGGGCGCAAGCCUGACGACGCAACGCCGCGUGGAGGAUGRAGGUCUUCGGAUUGUAAACUCCUGUUGAUCGGGACGAACAUCCAYYGGGAUAACACCCYGGWGGACUGACGGUACCGGUUGAGGAAGCCCCGGCUAACUCUGUGCCAGCAGCCGCGGUAAUACAGAGGGGGCAAGCGUUGUUCGGAAUUACUGGGCGUAAAGGGCGCGUAGGCGGCCACCUAAGUCAGACGUGAAAUCCCUCGGCUCAACCGGGGAACUGCGUCUGAUACUGGGCGGCUUGAAUUCGGGAGAGGAAUGCGGAAUUCCA
Molecule: ribosomal RNA, 613 nt
Filed under: uncultured bacterium
Lineage: Bacteria
Description: bacterial SSU rRNA
Rfam family: Bacterial small subunit ribosomal RNA
Source: RNAcentral